CUAAUACAUGCAAGUCGAGCGGACUUGCUGGAGCUUGCUCCAGCAGGUUAGCGGCGGACGGGUGAGUAACACGUGGGCAACCUGCCUGUAAGACUGGGAUAACUCCGGGAAACCGGAGCUAAUACCGGAUAGUAUCUUGAACCGCAUGGUUCAAGUUGGAAAGACGGUUUCGGCUGUCACUUACAGAUGGGCCCGCGGCGCAUUAGCUAGUUGGUGAGGUAAUGGCUCACCAAGGCAACGAUGCGUAGCCGACCUGAGAGGGUGAUCGGCCACACUGGGACUGAGACACGGCCCAGACUCCUACGGGAGGCAGCAGUAGGGAAUCUUCCGCAAUGGACGAAAGUCUGACGGAGCAACGCCGCGUGAGUGAUGAAGGUUUUCGGAUCGUAAAACUCUGUUGUUAGGGAAGAACAAGUGCGAGAGUAACUGCUCGCACCUUGACGGUACCUAACCAGAAAGCCACGGCUAACU
This 471-nucleotide ribosomal RNA is filed under the name Metabacillus idriensis. RNAcentral's name for it is "bacterial SSU rRNA". It matches the Rfam family "Bacterial small subunit ribosomal RNA", at positions 48 to 502 of the family's 1533-position model. Lineage: Bacteria; Bacillati; Bacillota; Bacilli; Caryophanales; Bacillaceae. The record is from RNAcentral.